CGGGAGCGGUUUGUGAGACGGGGCACUGGGGACACUGCCCACGGUGAAACGAAUCGCAGCGGCCGUGAUUCGCAGCCUCCUGUUCCUGAGGCUGCUCCUCACGGGAAGAUCAUUUCAUGCGAGAGUUUAAGAAUUGGAAGUUGGUUCCAGAAGUGUCUCCAGUGACCUCGCAUCGCCCUAGGCGCGGUAGGAGAGCCAGGGCGAGGGCCCUCGGCGCUGUGCAGCGUUCUGGAAAGUCUUGAAAGCCCUCUAGGGCGACAAAGGUUCGAGGCCCGAGCGCUGUUAUGCAGGUCACUUGACUCAGUCCAGACCGAGAUGCCCCCGCCCCGCAUCGCCGCCGCCAGGUUUUAUUCAGACUUUCGGAUAUAUCGUCAAAGUUCAACAUCAGGGAACAUAUUGGAAAGUCAUAUUUUUUAACUUGAAAUUAUACUUGGACAAGUCUGACAAGAGCAAGAAUUUUUUCACAAGGUGUGAGCAGCCUGAAGUUCCAUCCAAGAAAACAAAAUGAGAUGAAAUCAGCAAGGAUGUGUAACUACAUGCUCGGCUAAAUGCUGGAGACGACACCCAUGCCACAGCCCAGCUCAUCUCAUCCGAGGCUGCCUGCCGGGGGUGGAAGCAGCCCCUUCUUCACAGUAAGGAGAGCUGAGAAAGUAACAUGAACACCUAGAUUCAACAACCAUUGGUUUGCUGAGUGCGAGUUACG
RNAcentral lists this long non-coding RNA (703 nucleotides) under Equus asinus (donkey). RNAcentral describes it as "lncRNA (ENSEASG00005026371.1)". Lineage: Eukaryota; Metazoa; Chordata; Mammalia; Perissodactyla; Equidae. The record is from RNAcentral.